This 1057-nucleotide ribosomal RNA is filed under the name Arthrobacter subterraneus. RNAcentral describes it as "bacterial SSU rRNA". It matches the Rfam family "Bacterial small subunit ribosomal RNA", at positions 42 to 1108 of the family's 1533-position model. Lineage: Bacteria; Bacillati; Actinomycetota; Actinomycetes; Micrococcales; Micrococcaceae. The record is from RNAcentral.
GCAUGCUUACCAUGCAGUCGAACGAUGAUCCCCAGCUUGCUGGGGGGAUUAGUGGCGAACGGGUGAGUAACACGUGAGUAACCUGCCCUUGACUCUGGGAUAAGCCUGGGAAACUGGGUCUAAUACUGGAUACGACCUUCUGGCGCAUGCCAUGUGGGUGGAAAGCUUUUGUGGUUUUGGAUGGACUCGCGGCCUAUCAGCUUGUUGGUGGGGUAAUGGCCUACCAAGGCGACGACGGGUAGCCGGCCUGAGAGGGUGGACGGCCACACUGGGACUGAGACACGGCCCAGACUCCUACGGGAGGCAGCAGUGGGGAAUAUUGCACAAUGGGCGCAAGCCUGAUGCAGCGACGCCGCGUGAGGGAUGAAGGCCUUCGGGUUGUAAACCUCUUUCAGUAGGGAAGAAGCGAAAGUGACGGUACCUGCAGAAGAAGCGCCGGCUAACUACGUGCCAGCAGCCGCGGUAAUACGUAGGGCGCAAGCGUUAUCCGGAAUUAUUGGGCGUAAAGAGCUCGUAGGCGGUUUGUCGCGUCUGCCGUGAAAGUCCGGGGCUUAACUCCGGAUCUGCGGUGGGUACGGGCAGACUUGAGUGAUGUAGGGGAGACUGGAAUUCCUGGUGUAGCGGUGAAAUGCGCAGAUAUCAGGAGGAACACCGAUGGCGAAGGCAGGUCUCUGGGCAUUAACUGACGCUGAGGAGCGAAAGCAUGGGGAGCGAACAGGAUUAGAUACCCUGGUAGUCCAUGCCGUAAACGUUGGGCACUAGGUGUGGGGGACAUUCCACGUUUUCCGCGCCGUAGCUAACGCAUUAAGUGCCCCGCCUGGGGAGUACGGCCGCAAGGCUAAAACUCAAAGGAAUUGACGGGGGCCCGCACAAGCGGCGGAGCAUGCGGAUUAAUUCGAUGCAACGCGAAGAACCUUACCAAGGCUUGACAUGAACCGGAACGGGCGCAGAGAUGUGUCGGCCCACUUGUGGCCGGGUUUACAGGGUGGUGCAUGGUUGUCGUCAGCUCGUGUCGUGAGAUGUUGGGGUUAAGUCCCGCAACGAGCGCAACCCUCGU